GAUGAAGAACGCAGCGAAAUGCGAUACGUAAUGUGAAUUGCAGAAUUCAGUGAAUCAUCGAGUCUUUGAACGCACAUUGCGCCCCCUGGUAUUCCGGGGGGCAUGCCUGUCCGAGCGUCAUAGCUGCCCUCAAGCACGGCUUGUGUGUUGGGCCUCCGUCCUCCUCCCGGGGGACGGGCCCGAAAGGCAGCGGCGGCACCGCGUCCGGUCCUCGAGCGUAUGGGGCUUCGUCACCCGCUCUUGUAGGCCCGGCCGGCGCUUGCCGACACAUCAAUCUUUUUUCCAGGUUGACCUCGGAUCAGGUAGGGAUACCCGCUGAACUUAAGCAUAUCAAUAAGCGGAGGA
Molecule: unclassified non-coding RNA, 345 nt
Filed under: soil metagenome
Description: partial contains 5.8S ribosomal RNA, internal transcribed spacer 2, and large subunit ribosomal RNA
Rfam family: 5.8S ribosomal RNA (bases 1-120)
Source: RNAcentral